UAACAACUAGAUAGGUCCUUUAUUUUGUCUCUCAUAAGUAAUAUUCUUCCUUGUGCUAUCGACCCUUGUUUUGUUUUCUCAAAUCCAGCAUUGAACCAAAACAUUCAUCAGAACCCAGAAAAUUCAGUGAACCAGAAAGUCUACCAAUAGACCCAAAUUUGUAGAUGACUAUUUUCCUCCAUCCUAAACCUAUAUAACCAAUCCAAUAAAAUGACAAACUUAAAGAACUUCAGGUGCAAUUUUGUAGAUGACUAUAUUUACCAUGAUAAGAUUCAUGCUAAUAACUCCUUUUAUGUGCAGGUCUUGUGGGACUGUCACUCUCUUAUGCUUUAAACUUGACAGGAGCGCAAAUAUUUUGGAGUAGAUGGUUUUCCAACUUAUCAAACUAUAUCAUCUCUGUUGAAAGAAUCAAACAAUUCAUUCACAUACCAGCAGAGCCUCCUGCUAUUGUGAAUGGUAACCGACCUCCAUCUUCAUGGCCGUCCAAGGGAAAGAUUGAUCUUCAAGGCUUAGAGGUAAUGUUCCAUCCAUGUCUUCUUUUCCACCUUAAUUUCAAUAUGUUGUUUACCUACUUUAGUAUGAUGCCUGUUGUUUGUACAUUGGUUUCAGAUUCGAUAUCGCCCUAAUGCUCCGUUAGUCCUCAAGGGAAUCACUUGUACAUUUAAAGAAGGGAGUAGGGUAGGAGUUGUUGGAAGGACUGGAAGUGGAAAAAGUACUCUUAUUAGUGCUUUGUUUCGCCUAGUUGAGCCUUCAAGAGGUGAUAUUUUCAUUGAUGGGAUGAACAUAUGCUCAAUGGGGUUGAAGGAUUUGAGAAUGAGGCUAAGCAUAAUCCAUGCAGCUAUUGAAUGUAGUUAAAUUUUACAUGAGCCAUUCAAUAAGCACCAGUUUGGUUAUAUUUGAUUUGUUUGUUUAGGCUGUGGAGAAAUGUCAGCUUAAGGAAACAAUCAGCAAGCUACCAAGUCUCCUGGACUCUUCAGGUCAGUCUUUGGCAACCAUCUAAUAGCAUGACUUACUAAAAUGAGUCUUAGUAGAUGACUUUUGAAGCAAUAAAUAGACUAUGAAAGUCUAAUUAUUUUUAAGUUUUACAGUGAGUGAUGAAGGUGGAAAUUGGAGCUUAGGACAACGCCAAUUGUUUUGUCUUGGAAGAGUUCUACUUAAGAGAAACAGAAUUCUUGUUUUGGACGAAGCUACUGCAUCUAUCGACUCUGCCACAGAUGCCACUCUACAAAGAGUGAUUAGACAAGAAUUUGCCGAAUGCACAGUUAUAACUGUGGCUCAUAGAGUUCCAACUGUAAUAGACAGUGACAUGGUCAUGGUUUUAUCUUAUGGUAUGUUAAUUCCUUAUUCCUUAUUCUUUUUUCAUUUUUAUAUAUGCUGCUACUUCUCUUUUCUAGUAGUACUAUCUGAUGCCUCAUAAUUUUUGGUUGGUUAUUGAAGGGAAAUUGGUGGAAUAUGAUGAGCCUUCAAAGCUAAUGGACACCAACUCGUCAUUUUCUAAGCUGGUAGCUGAAUACUGGUCCAGUUGCAGGAAGAAUUCCUUCACAAAUAUUAGCAGCCUGCAGUAAUGAAUAAUGAGUUUAUGGAAAAUUAAUAUUGGUCCUGUUGAAAGAAAUUGGUUGACAUCAAGUAGUUAUGACUUAUGAGCCCAGAUGAAUAAAGGGGAAACUAUGACGAAAUAUUUUUGUUCAUGUACAUAUUGCAAUUUAGUUGCUCAUAAAUCAUAAUAUAUUCAAAAUUUUAAAAUAUUUUCUCACACAAAUUCAACACAGAAAUACUCUGGAUAUACAAAGCUAAUGGUGAAAAGGAUUUGCAUUUUUUUUUAAUCAAGUAGCCUAAUGGUUAGAAUUUGACCUUUAAGAUGAAUAAGUAGAAUGUCUUCUAACGUUUCAGAAUUUUGUUAAUUCAUGUUAGUCUUGAUACCUUAGCGUUUAGGUUUCCUCGUAGUUUUUAGUUUCUUUUGGGGCUACUUCCCUUUGCAUCAACAAAAAAAUGAGUAUUAAUUUGGCAAAAAGAAGUUCUUCUCAAAAUACAAAUUUUCAUAAAAUAUAUCAUAAAAAGAAAAAUUGGACAUCAAAAUCAUAAUUUCCACAAGACAUCUAAAGUUUUAGAGGCGACCUUGAUGCAAAGCGGCGACUACCACUGGUGCGGUUAGCGAUCACUAGAUCAACAGAUUGAGUCAAGAGCAAUUAUAAUAAAAGUGAGGUUGAACACCACAUCUUCACCAAAAAUAUUAAGAAAUUGUGUUUAUGGAUCCUCUCCCUUGUUGCUCAACUUCCUCUCACUGUAUUUACGCAUUUUUUUUUUUAGUCUUUGCAUCAUUUUUUUUUGUUUUAGUCUCUGUAUGUGUAAAUCUUGUUGAUUUUCGUCAUGCCCAUUAAAAAAUAACUGCGUUUGUAGCUAAUUAGCUACCAAUUAGCUACAAACGCAAACAUGAGAGACGAAAAUCAACAAGAUUUACGCAAAUAGAUACUAAAACAAAAAAAAUGAUAUAUGGACUAAAACUCAAAAAGCGCGUACAUACAGGGACCAAUGUGAUAUUUAAACCUAUUAAAAUAUUAUUUCUAUAUUACUACUCCUGUUCAUUAAGGACAAAAGAAAGGAUAAAUUAACACAUAGAGAAAAUAUAUAAAACAAAUAAACAAACAAAUAAACAAUCAUGGAACAACAAAAAGACAAACAAAUGGUUAAUAUUCAAGCCAUGCAUAUAUUCGUGAAAUACAGUGGAACAGUUGGAGGCAAUCUUUGUCUAUCCAUCUAUUUUGUCUGAUCAGUUUGUCAGAUUCCUUAUACACAUGAUUUUCCUUUUUGAGUCAGAUUUGGAUGGCUUUUCAUUUCAUUCAUAUAUCAUGAUUAUUAUACUGCGUAGAUAUUAUCCACACGAUCCUUCUUGGAUAGGCACCGCAUGAUUAUUAUUAUCAAUUAUUAGUAUAUACUCGUCCAUCGUAUAGGUAAAAUAUGAUAAUUUAAAAUAUGAUUUUUCACAUCCUGACCGCUAGUCAAAAAAUAAAAAAAUUUAUGUUUUAUUUGAUUAUUAAUUAUGAGAAAAAGAAAAAAGAGAGUAAAUUAAAUCCAAUUUACUAAUGAGAAUAACUAAAAAUAAAUCUUAAAAUGAUAAAAACCAAUUGCUUCUUUUUUAUUUAUAAUUUGAGAUUAAAAAAAGUAAUUUUUUUUCUUCUUAUAAUGCGGAUAAUAUUGGAUAGAUCUACACAAAACGCUGUCUUUUUUCAAGUGUCCCUAUGCUAUAUUCUUUCGGAUUUUCAAUUUAUUGAAUAAUUGAUGUAUUUAGUCUUUAAUAUAGAUUAAAUAUAUCAAUUAUUAAAUGAAUCUAAAAAUAUAAAUAUUUGUAUAUAAUUAAGACCGAAUCAAAUAUUUUUAAAAGUUGCACGUUAUUGUUUCGGAUAAAUGUUCACUGUGGCCCUAAUAAUAUUUAAACUUGAAAGAAUGGAGAAAAAUUGAUUAAGGGUCCGUUUGACCUAGUUUUUUUCCUCUUAUUUUUACUUAAAAGUAAGAAGUUAGGCCAAACAACAAUUUCUAAAAGCUAUAGUGAAAAAGAAAAAAAAAACAGUUUCUAUAUUUUAGAAAAAUAAUAAUAUAUUAUCAAAUAUAUCUUUUAACCCUAUUAUACUAAAAAAACAACAAUUUUUAACUUUUUUUUUAUAAAAAAAAAUUAAGAUUUACCUAACAAUAUUAAAUUUAGUUAAAAAGCUAUUAAUUCUAGCUUUAUAAUUAAAAGAACUUUUACAACUAAAAAAAACUAGGCCAAACGGACCCUAAGAAUUAUGAUGUAAAAGUUGAAAUUUUUCUUUAGAGAUCCAUUCUCACCCAUCAAUUAAAUUUGUAAUGUAGAAGGGCGUUUGGAUUCGGUUUAUUUUCGAGUUUAUAAAAAUAGCUUAUGCAAAUAAAUAAAGUUUUAUAUUAAUUUAUAAGUUUUUACUAAUAAAAAUUAUAUUUUUUAAGUUAUUAUUCUCAUAAACUACAUUAAAAAAAUUAUAAUAAUGCAUAAAAGUUUAUUUGUUUGCAUAAGUUAUUUUUGGAUACGCUAAAAAAUAAGUCAAUCCAAACGGGCCAUAGAAGAAAUUAAAUAAGUUUUUUUUUUUUUGUUUAUAAUGAGCCGUAGAUCGAACUAAACCUAUAUGGUACUACGUACCCAAACCUCUCACCACUAGACCAAACCUAGUGGCUUAAUUAAAUAAGCUUUUUGUGUAAAAGNNNNNNNNNNNNNNNNNNNNNNNNNNNNNNNNNNNNNNNNNNNNNNNNNNNNNNNNNNNNCAAGAUAAAAAACCUCCAUCACUGAAAAUGUGAGCUCACUGAAAAUGAUACAUUUGAUAAUUCCUAUAAAAAUAUUCUCUCAAUAAAAAUAUUUUAUCAAUACCAUUGUUCUUUAAUUAUUUCACUCAAAUUGAAAAAAAAAAAUAAAAACCCUUAAUUAGAUGCACCUAUAAAACUAUUUUGACACUCUCUGCAUGAGCUCGUACCACCACUUAUUAUAAACUAGUCACAAAAUUGAAAAGCAUGAUGUUUACUACUUCUUUGUAACAAUCAUUGCUCUAUGUUCUGUUCAGCUGAGGAGAGUAGCACAAACCAUUAAUUCAAACUCAACCUCCUAAAAUGCCUUACUUUUGGAACUCAACAGGUAACUUCCAUUCUUUUUCACUCUUUUUUGUACUAUUUGAUUUAUGUAUGUCACAUCUAUCAUAGUUGUGAAAUAUUUCAUAUAUUCAACAAUAGAUAUUUCUUGCUCAUGGAGUUCAUGUUCUGAUAAGUGUGAAGUCGAUUAAGUCUCACAUUAUUAUUUAGAAAAGUGGAGGUUGAACAUUUUAUAAGUUAAAAGAUUCAUAAAUCCUAUGCCAUAAAGUUUUGGGUAAAGAUGUGGUGUCUAACUUAGUUAUAUAGUUAAGUUGUUCUUAAGCCCAAUGUGGAUGAUCCCUAGGAUGCCCCCUCAUGACCCAACAAGAGCGGAGAGAUUCGAAAAGGCUUUGAUCGGCUUCUUGUAUCGAAAGUCAGUUUCUUUUCAUAUUGUUUGGAUUAGCGGUGCAACUUGUUGUCCACUUAUUUUCUAUUAUUAUCCUAAAUAUAUAUAUAAAGAAAAUGAUCUGUAUGGCUAAUAUACGCUAUUGGAAUAUUUUACCUUGUUUAUUCCUUUCAAAUGAUGUCGAUAUAUUUACACAUUGUCUUACCAAAAAUAUAUUUACACAUUGUUGGCCAAUUAUCUUGGCUAUAUAACUGAAUGGAAGAAUUUCUAAAAUAUGUCACUAGGUAUGUUCUAGUGGUGAAGACUUUGGGUAGGAUGUAUGAUGUGAGAGAAUUUCUAAAAUAUACUUGAAAGGAUGCAAUGAUUAGUUUGAAAUAAUGUCUCUAAUGGUUUAGUCUUGGAACCUUUUAAGAACAAGAGUGAAUCAUAACAUUGUUUCAUAUUAACAUUAAAUGAUAUCUUUCAAUGAUUGAUUCCUUUCAUCAAAUGAUGAGUUUCUCUAUAAAUAGAGACACCCUUGAGGCAGAAAAGUUAAAAAUUAGAAAAUCAUGAGAUUCACGAGUCAGAAAUUCUGCCGAAAAUAUUCCUAAGUCAUUUCUUCAUUUCUCUAGUGCACAAGAGUCAUUGAAGGAACCUUAUUCUGUAAAUCUUCGCUGAUCGAUAUGCUUGAUAUGAGUGUGCAAUUCAUGUCAAAGUUUCCAAAGUAUCCUGAAGGGGAUUCAUCGGUUUAUGCCAUUUGCAUCCGGUUUGCAUGCAUAAACUGGUGGGGGCGAAUCGAACCUAAAGCUUAGUGUGUUCACAUACGCUUUGGAAUUUAUGUGCAAUAUUCAUCUUGUUCAUGUAUUUGCAACAGAUCCCCCAACAAAAGUUCUCACAUAUGAGGUCUUAAGUUCAAACUUCACUAGAUCUAUUGUAAACAAAAAAUAAAAAAAUGUGAUUGUGAAAUUGGAGAAAAAUGGAGUGGACUUGAGAUUUGUAAUUGUUUGCAAAAGAAAAAGUCCAUGCAAAAUUUGUGAAAUCAUAGAAAAAAUUGUUCCGAAACUUAUUACAUAUGAUAAAGUUGCUUCGGUGAAGAUAAUUUAAAAUAAGAGCUCUUAGAUGUCCUAAACGAUUGUGCCCUAACUCUUUGGAUAAAACGGAAAAAGGUGGAUGUUCUUGAGGUAUAGUGUGUGGGCUGGUGGAUAUAGGAUAAAGCUCACCCAAGCUGUUACAUCUUAUUAAUGGCAUAUGUCUGAAAAUCGUUCACAGAAAAACCAAAGGGAUAAAACGCAACAUAAACAUCAUUAUCAAUGGUAAAUUUUCUAACAGAUAUGAGAUUUUUAAUUAGUUUUGAUGCAUGCAAGACAUUGUUUAAGGGUUAAAGUUGAGUGAUGGUUAAUGCAUUUCCGCAACAAAUAACUAGAAUAUUAUGACCACUACCAACAGUAAUAUGAUUAUUCAUAUUAGAUUAAGAUGUAAGAUUACCUCCAUUCACCGUCAUGUGAAAUGUGACAACUAUGUACAUGUACCAUUGAUCAUCCGAAGGAGAAAUAGAGAGCGUGUGCAUAACAUCUUGAAUGCCAGUCGGUGCAUAUGAUGGUUGUGCAGCCGCGCUACAUGUGCCUGUUGAGGUUAUUUAUAUGUUUUUCUAAGAUUAUUCAACAUUAUAGAACAUUGAUUAAUUGUUUCUCUUUGAUGGUUUAUAUAUAUGCAGGUGAAAUUUCUGAGCCACUGCUAGCUCAAAAAGUUGAAAGAAAACAAACAGGACUAGGCCAUGCUACUUUCCAAAGCAAGUUGAUUUUCUCUUGGGUUAAUUCUUUACUCAAUUUAGGUUACUCAAAGCCACUAGCUCUUGAAGACAUACCUUCCCUUGUUUCUGAAGAUGAAUCAAACAUGGCCUAUCAAAAAUUUGUUCAUGCUUGGGAGUCCCUUGUUAGAGAGAGGGGGAAAAAUAAUACAAAGAGUUUAGUUCUAUGGUCUAUAGUUAGAACUUACUUAAAAGAAAACUUAUUAAUAGCAUUUUAUGCAUUAAUCAGAACUAUUUCUGUUGUAGUUUCACCUUUAAUAUUAUAUGCUUUUGUUAACUACUCUAAUAGGACUGAGGAAGAUCUUAAAAAAGGUCUUUCCAUAGUUGGUUUUUUGAUUGUCUCAAAAGUAUUUGAGUCUUUGCCUCAAAGACAUUGGGUUUUUAAUUCAAGGAGAUCAGGAAUGAAAAUGAGAUCAGCUCUUAUGGUGGCAGUUUACCAAAAGCAGCUAAGGCUUUCUAGCUCUGCAAGAACACGACACUCGGCUGGUGAAAUUGUGAAUUACAUUGCAGUUGAUGCAUAUAGAAUGGGAGAAUUUCCAUGGUGGUUUCAUACAACAUGGACUUCUGCAUUGCAACUUAUACUUUCGAUUGGUGUUCUUUUUGGUGUUGUUGGUAUCGGUGCUCUUCCUGGUUUAGUACCUCUUUUCAUCUGUGGACUUCUGAAUGUACCACUUGCAAGGAUCCUACAAAAUUGUCAGCUACAAUUUAUGAUUGCACAGGAUGAGCGUCUUCGAUCGACUUCAGAGAUUCUGAAUAGUAUGAAGAUUAUUAAGUUACAAUCAUGGGAAGAAAAAUUCAAGAACUUAGUUGAGUCACUACGCGAUAAAGAGUUUGUAUGGUUAUCUAAGACACAGUUCCUGAAAGCUAAUAAUUCAUUUCUUUAUUGGAUGGCUCCUACAGUUGUUUCUGCUGUUGUUUUCCUUGGAUGUGCUGUUACCAAGAGUGCACCUUUGAAUGCUGAAACCAUUUUCACAAUUCUUGCAACAUUGAGAAACAUGGGAGAACCUGUUAGAAUGAUCCCUGAGGCUCUAUCUAUUAUGAUUCAAGUUAAGGUUUCGUUUGAUCGUCUUAAUAAGUUUUUGCUUGAUGAAGAACUAAACAAUGAUGAUAGUAAAAGAAACUUGCAGCAAUGUUCGGUUAAUGCUGUGGAAAUUCAAGAUGGCAACUUCAUCUGGGAUCAUGAAUCUGUCUCUCCAACUCUAAAAGAUGUGAAUCUAGAAAUCAAUCGAGGACAGAAAAUUGCAAUUUGUGGACCUGUUGGAGCCGGAAAAUCGUCACUUUUGUAUGCAAUACUUGGAGAGAUUCCUAUGAUUUCAGGAACUGUAAGUUAUUAAAUAUAAUAUAUUUAACUUUUUAUAAUGCAAUUCAAAUUAAUAAACAUGGUAUCCGAAACUUGUUCACCCCUAUGAUAUUGGAAAACAGGUUAAUGUAGGUGGCACACUAGCCUAUGUCUCUCAAUCUGCUUGGAUACAAAGUGGAACAGUUCGAGAUAAUAUACUCUUUGGCAAGCCAAUGGACACAGCAAGAUACGAGAAAGCAAUUAAAGCUUGUGCCUUAGAUAAGGAUAUAAGUGACUUUAGCCAUGGUGAUCUUACAGAAAUUGGUCAAAGAGGAAUCAACAUGAGUGGAGGACAAAAGCAAAGGAUUCAACUAGCUAGAUCAGUCUACUAUGACGCUGAUAUCUAUCUCCUUGAUGAUCCUUUCAGUGCAGUUGAUGCACAUACAGCUGCAAUAUUAUUCAAUGUAAGGAAAUAUCACUUUUAUCAUGUUAAUUACUCCCUCCACUCCAAAAUAAGUGUCGUUCAAUGAAAGAAUGUUGCAAUUUUACAAAAGUAUCCUUACUAACUUCUGAUAAUUAACCAUUGUCAUAAUUUAGGGAUAGUAUGAAAAAAAGAAUUAAUGUUACUUUGAAAGAGCAUUAUGAUAUGUAUUUUAAAACAUUUUUUACAUGGUUAAAUGACACUUAUUUUGCAAUGGAGGCAGUAUAAUAAAACUGUAACUCAUUUUGUUGUAUCAAACUAACUGCAUCUACAACAAUACUACAGGAUUGUGUUAUGACUGCUUUAAGAAAUAAAACAGUCAUUCUAGUUACUCAUCAAGUGGAGUUUCUCUCACAAGUUGAUUCUAUCUUGGUAAACUAUUUCAUUUGGAUUCCUAUAUUAAAUUACAUUUGAGCAUAAUUAACAUGAUGAAAUCAAAUUCUAGGUAAUGGAAGGUGGAAAAGUUAUUCAAUCAGGUAGUUAUGAGAAUCUUCUGACAGCUGGAACAGCCUUUGAACUACUUGUGAAUGCUCAUAAAGACACAAUUACUGACUUGAAUCAAGAUCAUCCAAAUCAAAAUGGCUUUGAAAAUGAGGUUUUGACUAAAACUCAAAGUGAGGGAGAGAUUUCUAGUAUCAAGGGACCAAUUGGUACACAGCUUACACAAGAGGAAGAAAAAGUGAUUGGUAAUGUUGGAUGGAAGCCAUUCUGGGAUUAUAUUAACUAUUCAAAAGGGACAUUCAUGCUGUGUUCGAUUAUUUUAGUACAUUCUGUUUUUGUGGCUUUCCAGACUGCCUCAACCUUUUGGCUUGCUAUAGCCAUUGAAAUUCCAAAAGUAACUAAUGCCACCUUGAUUGGAGUUUAUGCAUUAAUUUCUUUUUCUGGUGUUGUUUUUGUUUAUGUAAAAUCUUACUUGACUGCACUUUUGGGAUUGAAAGCUUCUACUGCUUUCUUCUCAAGCUUCACUACAUCUAUCUUCAAUGCUCCAAUGGUUUUCUUUGAUUCAACUCCUGUUGGAAGAAUUUUAACUAGAGUAAGAUUUCUUCAUUCCUAAUCAAGAAAUAUAAUCUAUAUAUUUUCUUUUUGGUCAUUCGUUAGUUAUUACUAAUACGGAUCAACAUUUUCUUCUCUCUUGUGCAGGCUUCUUCAGAUUUAAGUAUUUUGGACUUUGAUAUACCUUAUUCCAUCACCUUUGUAAUAUGUGUAGGAAUUGAAAUUUUGGUGAUGAUUUGUAUAAUGGUUUCAGUCACGUGGCAAGUUCUCAUUGUUGCUGUUCCUGCACUGGUUGCAUCAAUAUUCGUUCAGGUUUCUUAUCCACUUUCUAUUUUUUCUUGAUUAUCUAUUCUCUUUCCAUGGUGAUAUUAAGAACUUAAUCUCAUUUCCUCCUCUUUUUAUUCUUCUAAAAGCAAUAUUAUCAAGCCACUGCAAGUGAACUAAUACGGAUCAAUGGAACAACCAAAGCUCCAGUCAUGAAUUUUGCAGCUGAGACAUCACUUGGAGUGGUUACUGUACGAGCAUUCAACAUGGCAGACAGAUUUUUCAAAAACUACUUACAACUUGUGGACACAGAUGCCUCACUGUUCUUUCACUCUAAUGUGACAAUCGAAUGGGAAAUUUUAAGGAUUGAAGCACUUCAAAAUUUGACUGUCAUCACUGCAGCUUUGUUGCUUAUUCUACUACCUCAGGGAUAUGUAUCCCCAGGUAAUAAUAUAAUAUGUGAAAAAUUGCACAUACAGUACUUUAAGUUUGACAUUUUCCAGGAUUGGACCUUUAAGUUUUUUUCAUAUUGGUCCUUUAAGUCUCGUUACACAAACAAAGUUUCCCUUUUUUAGAACUCCCGUCACAAAAAUAUACACGUGACCAUUAUGGGUGUUAUGUGGAUUAAGCGGCACUGAUUGGACUUGUAAACAUAUACCACAAUUACCUUUAAUAGUUUCUAAGUGAUAUUCUUCCUCGUGCUAUAGACCCUUGUUUAUUCCUCAAAUCCACCAACAAACCAAAAAAUUCAGUGAACCAGAAAAUCCAUCAAUGAACCUGAACUUGUAGAUGACUAUAUUUUCCCUCAUCCCUAAAUUUAAAGAACCAAUCCAAUAAAAAUGACAAACUUAAAGAACUGCAGGGGCAAUCCUGCCGAAAGUAACAAUUACCAUGAUAAGAUGUUGUCCAUGCUAAUAACUCCUUUUCUGUGCAGGACUUGUGGGACUGUCACUCUCUUAUGCUUUUACCUUGACAGCAGGCCAAAUAUUUUGGACUAGAUGGUUUUCCAACUUAUCAAACUAUAUUAUCUCUGUUGAAAGAAUCAAACAAUUCAUUCACAUACCAUCUGAGCCUCCUGCUAUUGUGGAUGGUAACCGACCUCCAUCUUCAUGGCCGUCCAAGGGCAAGAUUGAUCUUCAAGGCUUAG
Molecule: long non-coding RNA, 10922 nt
Filed under: Trifolium pratense (red clover)
Lineage: Eukaryota; Viridiplantae; Streptophyta; Magnoliopsida; Fabales; Fabaceae
Description: long non-coding RNA (TPRA_LNC002664)
Source: RNAcentral